Rhincodon typus (whale shark) is the source of this 2870-nucleotide long non-coding RNA. RefSeq lists it as uncharacterized. The transcript is spliced from 4 exons. Lineage: Eukaryota; Metazoa; Chordata; Chondrichthyes; Orectolobiformes; Rhincodontidae. The record is from RefSeq and is a predicted model, not a curated record.
UCUUGAGCUGGAUACACAUGAACGGCUUACAAAAAUGUCAAAUCAUUUUCUCAGUGUGACAUAUGGAGAAACUAAGCGUGUAAAAUUUGACAGCAGCAGGUCUCUUUCAAAUACCACCUUGAUUCACCGUCAUACAGCAAAUUGUACUUCUAUCGCGUGAUCAGCAUAAUGAAACAUCACAAUCGCCCAGUCUAAAUUCAGGAAUUGUCUUAGAAUUUUGUGGUGAACUCUUCCACUCUCCAUUUUAAAAUUGUUUCUGAAGAUGCUAAAACUAAAAAAGAAUUGACGUGGUGAUAAUUGGAUGCCAAAGUGAUUAAAAUCAAAUUGGACCAGCCCUGGUGUUAUAGCUGUGACAAAAAGAUUACAAUGGAAACAAAGGGUGCAAGAUAAACUGCAACAGAUUAAACUAAACAGGAGAAGCUGUAAAAUGCCUCAUGAAACCACAAAGGAUCAGUAUGAUGAAGGACCUGAGUGGCUGCAACUCUAAUGGACAGCUGCCUUUUGUCAGCACAGGAUGAUACUACGUGAAAUGUCUGGAGCUGCAGUAACAGACUGCACCAGAGCUCAGCUUUGACUGAAUAAAGAGUCAAAGCUUUCAUCUUGCACUCAUCAGGACAUUUUGCAAUAAAUACAAAUUGAAGGGGAAACAAAUUGAAGGCGAGAAGCGUGCUGAUUGAUUCGUUAGCAGACUAUGAUUGGUAGAAACGUUGCCAUGGAGAAUGCACCCAUGAAUGCUGAUUGAUAGGCCUAUCGUCAUGAUGGGAGAAACGGAGUGACAUGGCCUCCAAGAUAACAGGAGAAUGUGGGUUGCCUGUGGAUACGAGAAAGGUGAAGAGUCUGAGGCUCAAGUGAAUGGAGGAAGAAGGCCACAAAGUAGUUUAACAAGACUCAAUAACUGAAACAAACCUCUAAUGUCUUGGCCUUUGUGGCUGCAUUUUGGAGAUAAAUGAGUUUCCUGCUUUAAAGCUGAAGAUUUGACAGUCAACAAGAAUCUCUGAUCUCUACAGUACAUUUGCCUCUGAUUUGCUAGAGAUCAAGGCUCAACAGGAGCCACUGCCCAGUAUCAAUGUACAAUAUGAAUGAGCACAAAUGAUGGACAUGCACUGAAGGAAAGUACUGAGUAAUAAGACUGAAUCUAAGUAAGACUAAACAAAGUAAGUUGCACAUAUUACACAUGUUCAUUUUAAAAACAGCAUUGUUAACCUCAAUAGAAAGUUGCAGGUAACAAAGAUUGAUCGUUGUAAUUUAUUAGAACCAAGAAAAAUCAAAUGAACUCAAGCAACAAUUCAAAUUUCUGUUGCCAAAGUCCUUCAAAUUCUUUUCCACCAAGAUAAAGGCAUAUACAAGAAUUAGCAGUCAAAGCUACUCAAUACUUAUUGCUGUUUAUUCAUUGUGAAUUGUACUUGGCCUUGCAAAGGAAGUCAACCUCCAAUAAAACAGGCAGUAGCCUACAGCGAAGAAAAUCAUGUCAAUAAAGUCUGGUGACACACAUUGCAAUGAAGAAAGGAGUUAUGACAUUAUAGAUUUUUGUAAAAGGCUAAUCUGACUUUAACUGGAGACAAGAAGUUUAAAAAAAAGGCUGCUACAAGUCACUUGACUAUACAGCUGCUGCCUCUAAAUGCAUUACAGACAGAUGUACCCAGAUAUGUAAAGAGUCUUAAAAUACCAGAAGUUUCCAACAGACAAUAAAGGUGUGUGAAUUCGAGCUUUAAAGAUAACGGCAUACAAGAUGUGGAGGCGCUGGUAUUGGACUCGGGUGGAUACAGUCAGAAAUCACAUAACACCAGGUUAUAGUCCAACAGGUUUAUUUGAAAACACAAGCUUUCGAAGUCUCAUUCCUUCUUCAGGUGUUAGUGAGAGAGCUGGUAUCAAACACAGAAUUUAUAAGUUAAAGAUCAAAGGAUAACUUAUAACUGAUGAGGAUGUAUUAAACAAACCUAAGAUGCUAUUAAAUAUUUAAUCAGUUAGAAGGUUUUAAUUGAUUAAUAUGUAUAUAAUAUACAAGAGGAAGAAUUUCAAAGGAACUCAUAAAUGACUUCUUUGCUUUGUGGAACACGUGAUUCCUUGGAAUUAACAUAUCACUACUUUGAACUUUGAACCAUAUUAAAAAAUCUGGCGAAGAACAGCCAAAUGUGCAGAACACCAAGAAGGAAGCAUUGAGAACACCCCUCAGCGGGAGUUUUCAUGAAGGGAGAACAUAGUGAAAAGUAAAACAAAUAUCUUUCUGCUGAAAGAAAGUCAGGCAGUGUGAAAAUAUCAAAACCACAUAACUACUAAAUAACAAGGAUCCUUCUCUGUGUCCUAAAAUCCACUGCCCCACAGAGCUUACCUGUUCAGGAAAACGCUACCUAUUCAACUACAGAAGCCAUUGCAGCUACAGAAUCAUACCUCAAGUGUUAAGUUUUUGCUUCAGUAACAAGGAACUCAAGCAAUGGGAUUCAAUGGUACACCAGAAAGAGAUUUUGGGGCUUGCUACACUUAGGUAUCCUUUCAUCUUACCAAUAUUUGUUCUAAUCUUCAUGUUUGUAAUUUUUCAUUGAAAAUAUCUUCUCUCUGUUUAGAGGGAAAACUCGGUAAUGGGUUGUAAUAAACCACCCUUUAACCUGUUUAAACAAGAAGUUUGACUGUUGUCUACUUAACUUGAAUUGUUCAAAUUAACAGGGGACUAAGCAACCAAUAUUAGUUCAGAUCCCUAGCCACUUCGGAACACAUCGCGGCACACAUCAAAAAAUGUGUAGAAGAAAAGAUAUCCACAUUCCUGAACUGUUUUAUUUAUUAUUCAUCAUUUAUUCAUCAUGUCAAUGGAUGUGAAUUUUAGCUGGUUUAAAGCUGCCUGUGAUGCACAAUAAAAAAAUAGCAUGCCCAGUUAA